RNAcentral lists this long non-coding RNA (910 nucleotides) under Equus caballus (horse). Its description in RNAcentral is "lncRNA (ENSECAG00000048605.1)". Lineage: Eukaryota; Metazoa; Chordata; Mammalia; Perissodactyla; Equidae. The record is from RNAcentral.
CGCUCAAAACUGGCCAAUUGGGAAAAGACGCUUGAACUUCCUGGCUUUCACGCCAGGAAGUGCCACCCAACUCCACCUACUUCCUGGCUCAGGGCUGCAGGCAGGGGGCACACAGGCCAGGACCAGGGACUCAACUGGGCCUGCUCAAAGGAAGUCGCUGCCCAGCUCCAUGCCCCUCCCCGCGCCUUAGGGUGUGUGGUGCUGAAACAAUUUAGACGGAGAGAGAAGGAUGAUGGCUGCUGGCUCAGUGCCUCAGAGAUCCGCAGGCUGCUCAGAAUUGUAGGACUUUCUUGGUCUCCUGACGUCCCUGCUCAAGGCUUCUCUUCCCCGAGGCUCAGAGCGGCUCCUGGCUCCCACGCAUGCCCGCUUCAUUCUUCCUAUGAAAUUCAAAGAAAAUCCAAACCUUUUUCUUGGAGUACUGGCCCCAACAGAAGCCAGAGGCCCAGGAAGCACAGGGGCCUGUCGAUGCCGCCCCUGCAGCCGCGCGCAGGGAGCACCCCAGGAGGAGAGACCUGGACUUCCUCAGAUGCCUGGGGGCCAGGUGGAGGCCGCUGCAGCUCCCAGGAGAGAGAGUAUUUUUCAUUCCAAUUUGUGCCCUUCGUGUUCUGGGCUCCGAGGAAGCAACAGCAGGAGAGAUGGACACAGCCCUGCCCGCCCUGGAGCCCCAGCCUGUCAGGGAAGAUGACAGAGGGAGGUGACAACGGUGGACCCCUGCCUGCCCUCUGGAGACUUGUCCUCUCACAGGCUCCUGGGGGUGGACUGUGGCACCUAAAUCAGCAAUGACAGUCCAGAGACCCCCUAGAGACCCCCCAGAGUGCAGUAAAAGCACAAAGUGGGAGGGCUGACUAACUGUGGGUAUCAGGGAGGGCUUCCCAGAGGAGACAAUGAAUUGGCACCAGGAGGAAAGGCA